Molecule: long non-coding RNA, 390 nt
Filed under: Citrus sinensis (sweet orange)
Lineage: Eukaryota; Viridiplantae; Streptophyta; Magnoliopsida; Sapindales; Rutaceae
Description: long non-coding RNA (CSIN_LNC000542)
Source: RNAcentral
AGCACUCAACAAACAACAAGAGCCGACUUUCAUCCCAGAGACUCAAAACGGCUACGGGUUGUACGGCCAAAAGAAUAAUGAUCAGUUCCCCACCACAACCUCUGCUGCUGACGUCAAAUACGAGCCUUACACCACCCCCAUCACUAGCACCCCCACCGGAACCUUCGAACCUUACACUACUCCGACCACCUCCGCCGCCGUGCAAUACGAACCCUACACAACCCCCAUUACCAGCACCCCCACCGGAACUUUUGAACCCUACAAAACUCCCACCACCAGCUACAACAACCCUAACAAGUACAACUUCAAUAACAACAGAUACUAUUACAACAACAACGGUUUUCAGACAGAGCAAGAGAGGUUGGGUGACUCGAAAUUCCAAGAAAGUGG